UACAGAGGGUGCAAGCGUUAAUCGGAAUUACUGGGCGUAAAGCGUGCGUAGACGGUUAUGUAAGUCAGAUGUGAAAGCCCCGGGCUCAACCUGGGAAUUGCAUUUGAGACUGCAUAGCUAGGGUGCGGAAGAGGGAAGCGGAAUUUCCGGUGUAGCGGUGAAAUGCGUAGAGAUGUGGAGGAACACCGAUGGCGAAGGCAGCCUCCUGGGCCAACACUGACGCUCAUGCACGAAAGCGUGGGGAGCAAACAGG
Molecule: ribosomal RNA, 253 nt
Filed under: uncultured bacterium
Lineage: Bacteria
Description: partial 16S ribosomal RNA
Rfam family: Bacterial small subunit ribosomal RNA
Source: RNAcentral